AGCUUAGAAGUUAUAUUUGACUUUGGUCUUAGUAAUGUCUAUAUAGACCAUAUGGGAGCAGUAGAUGGCUCAUGAUCUCAGAUCCUUUGUAUCUGCCCCUGGGUUAAGGUAGGCCAUCUUGGAUU
This is a small nucleolar RNA of Cryptomeria japonica (Japanese cedar), 125 nucleotides long. RefSeq annotates it as small nucleolar RNA SNORA5. The record is from RefSeq and is a predicted model, not a curated record. The transcript has a single exon. NCBI's taxonomy places the organism in Eukaryota, Viridiplantae, Streptophyta, Pinopsida, Cupressales, Cupressaceae.